Molecule: ribosomal RNA, 654 nt
Filed under: uncultured Anaerovorax sp.
Lineage: Bacteria; Bacillati; Bacillota; Clostridia; Peptostreptococcales; Anaerovoracaceae
Description: bacterial SSU rRNA
Rfam family: Bacterial small subunit ribosomal RNA
Source: RNAcentral
GGCUUCGGUGCCGCAGUUAACGCAUUAAGUGCUCCGCCUGGGGAGUACGCACGCAAGCGUGAAACUCAAAGGAAUUGACGGGGACCCGCACAAGCAGCGGAGCAUGUGGUUUAAUUCGAAGCAACGCGAGGAACCUUACCAGGACUUGACAUCCCUCUGACCGCACCUUAACCGGUGCUUUCCUUCGGGACAGAGGUGACAGGUGGUGCAUGGUUGUCGUCAGCUCGUGUCGUGAGAUGUUGGGUUAAGUCCCGCAACGAGCGCAACCCUUGCCAUUAGUUGCCAUCAUUCAGUUGGGCACUCUAGUGGGACUGCUGGGGACAACUCGGAGGAAGGUGGGGAUGACGUCAAAUCAUCAUGCCCCUUAUGUUCUGGGCUACACACGUGCUACAAUGGCCGGUACAGAAAGCAGCAAUGCCGCGAGGCGGAGCGAAUCUCGAAAACCGGUCCCAGUUCGGAGUGCAGGCUGCAACCCGCCUGCAAGAAGCCGGAGUUGCUAGUAAUCGCGGAUCAGAAUGCCGCGGUGAAUGCGUUCCCGGGUCUUGUCCACACCGCCCGUCACACCAUGGAAGUGGGGGGUGCCGGAAGCCGGCAGGGAAAUAAGCUGUCUAAGGCAAAACCAAUGACUGGGGUGAAGUCGUAACAAGGUAGCCG